AACCGAGAUUCCCAAAGUAGUGGCGAGCGAACUGGGAUCAGCCUUCAAUAUUUAGUAUUUGAAUUAAGUCAAAUUUUACUGGAAAGUUAAACCGUAGUGGGUGAUAGUCCCCGUAGGCGAAAAAUUCAAAUAUAGAACUAAGAUUGAGAUAAGUAGAGCGGGACACGUGAAAUCCUGUUUGAAGAUAGGGGGACCAUCCUCUAAGGCUAAAUACUCGUAAUCGACCGAUAGUGAACCAGUACCGUGAGGGAAAGGCGAAAGAACCCCGGAAGGGGAGUGAAAUAGAUCCUGAAAACCGCAUGCAUACAAACAGUGGGAGCCCGUAAGGGUGACUGCGUACCUUUUGUAUAAUGGGUCAGCGACUUACAUUCAGUAGCAAGCUUAACCGAAUAGGGGAGGCGCAGCGAAAGCGAGUCUUAAUAGGGCGUAUAGUUGCUGGGUGUAGACCCCGAAACCAGAUGAUCUACUCAUGGCCAGGAUGAAGCGAGGGUAACACCUCGUGGAGGUCCGAACCCACUAAUGUUGAAAAAUUAGGGGAUGAGCUGUGGGUAGGGGUGAAAGGCU
RNAcentral lists this ribosomal RNA (564 nucleotides) under uncultured bacterium. RNAcentral's name for it is "bacterial LSU rRNA". It matches the Rfam family "Bacterial large subunit ribosomal RNA", at positions 227 to 830 of the family's 2925-position model. The record is from RNAcentral.